RNAcentral lists this ribosomal RNA (397 nucleotides) under Enterobacter ludwigii. RNAcentral's name for it is "bacterial SSU rRNA". It matches the Rfam family "Bacterial small subunit ribosomal RNA", at positions 992 to 1377 of the family's 1533-position model. The record is from RNAcentral. Lineage: Bacteria; Pseudomonadati; Pseudomonadota; Gammaproteobacteria; Enterobacterales; Enterobacteriaceae.
AGAACUUACAAGAGACUGCAUUUGUUAGCUUCGGGAACUCUGAGACAGGCUGCUGCAUGUANCUGUCGUCAGCUCGUGUUGUGAAAUGUUGGGUUAAGUCCCGCAACGAGCGCAACCCUUAUCCUUUGUUGCCAGCGGUNCGGCCGGGAACUCAAAGGAGACUGCCAGUGAUCAAACUGGAGGAAGGUCGGGGAUCGACGUCAAGUCAUCAUCGGCCCUUCACGAGUAGGGCUACACACGUGCUACAAUGGCGCAUACAAAGAGAAGCGACCUCGCGAGAGCAAGCGGACCUCAUCAANNUGCGUCGUAGUCCGGAUUGGAGUCUGCAAGCUCGACUCCAUGAAGUCGGAAUCGCUAGUAAUCGUAGAUCAGAAUGCUACGGUGAAUACGUUCCCGG